UACGUAGGGGGCAAGCGUUGUCCGGAAUCAUUGGGCGUAAAGCGCGCGUAGGCGGCCCGGUAAGUCCGUUGUGAAAGUCAAAGGCUCAACCUUUGAACGCCGAUGGAUACUGCCGGGCUAGAGUCCGGAAGAGGCGAGUGGAAUUCCUGGUGUAGCGGUGAAUGCGCAGAGUAUCAGGAGGAACACCAAUAGCGAAGGCAGCUCGCUGGGACGGUACUGACGC
This 223-nucleotide ribosomal RNA is filed under the name uncultured bacterium. Its description in RNAcentral is "partial 16S ribosomal RNA". It matches the Rfam family "Bacterial small subunit ribosomal RNA", at positions 524 to 746 of the family's 1533-position model. The record is from RNAcentral.